AGUUAGUCACGAGUUUGAUCAUGGCUACAGAACGAACGCUGGCGGCAUGCCUAACACAUGCAAGUCGAACGAGAUCUUCGGAUCUAGUGGCGCACGGGUGCGUAACGCGUGGGAAUCUGCCCUUUGCUUCGGAAUAACAGUUAGAAAUGACUGCUAAUACCGGAUGAUGUCUUCGGACCAAAGAUUUAUCGGCAAAGGAUGAGCCCGCGUAGGAUUAGGUAGUUGGUGGGGUAAAGGCCUACCAAGCCGACGAUCCUUAGCUGGUCUGAGAGGAUGAUCAGCCACACUGGGACUGAGACACGGCCCAGACUCCUACGGGAGGCAGCAGUGGGGAAUAUUGGACAAUGGGCGAAAGCCUGAUCCAGCAAUGCCGCGUGAGUGAUGAAGGCCUUCGGGUUGUAAAGCUCUUUUACUCGGGACGAUAAUGACGGUACCGAGAGAAUAAGCCCCGGCUAACUCCGUG
RNAcentral lists this ribosomal RNA (463 nucleotides) under uncultured bacterium. RNAcentral describes it as "bacterial SSU rRNA". It matches the Rfam family "Bacterial small subunit ribosomal RNA", at positions 1 to 507 of the family's 1533-position model. The record is from RNAcentral.